Sapajus apella (tufted capuchin) is the source of this 1468-nucleotide long non-coding RNA. RefSeq lists it as uncharacterized. The record is from RefSeq and is a predicted model, not a curated record. The transcript is spliced from 3 exons. NCBI's taxonomy places the organism in Eukaryota, Metazoa, Chordata, Mammalia, Primates, Cebidae.
UACCAUAUUCUAACCAGAAAGUACCCAGGCCUAAUCCUGUUUAAGCUACUGUCAUUGGAGGUGUAAGGCCCUGAUGGUUUAUACAUACGAGCAACCAUGUAUAAAGCCUGUAACAAUCUACAUGAAGGCGUUUUACUGACCAAUUUUCAUCGUCUUAUAUAAAGGAAAUUGUACUCUAGGGGCAUAUGUAUUUAUUAAAUUCCAUUUCCCUCACUUGCUUAUUAAAAGCCUGUCCUUUUAAAACAAUUCCCUGUAUAAAAGUAGAAACUAAGGAAGCGUACUUUUAAACUGUAGACUUUUCUGUUUUUUAGCAUUUAGAGAAAUAAUAAGUCUUGAAAUUACAAGAACUCCCAUAACAUUAGAACAUACAAAUAUAAAUAUUAGCAUAAUUUGAGGUCAUAGUAGAUAUAUUAUUUAAUUUUAUUAGGUUUUUCUGACCUCUCAAGACCCACCAAACUUUUAUAUGGGAGCUCUUGCCGCCUUUCUGCACAAAUAGUAUUGUAGAAAAUUCAGACUAAUCUAGCCACAGUGUAUGGGAAACACUUCCUUUUAACCACUAUUAUCAUUCAGGGUCCAGCUAGGAGACAGAAAACACACAGUAAUCUGAACAACUAAAGUUUCUUAUAGAUAAUUAUCAAUUAGUAGCUAGGGCUUAAUUACUAAGCGGUAGAGAUAACUUCUAAGAAUACAGGAAUAGCAAAGAGUGCAGUCACUGACUUCAUGGCUAAGUCUAAGUACCCAGGGAAGGGCCGAAUCUGGAAGCAGCCCCUGCCUCCAUGCUUAGAUUCAGACCUGUUGGAGAGGGCAUGACUGCAGCCCACUGGAUAGAGGAGAAACUCCCUGAAGUGGGACGGACAGACAAACAGGAAACUUCUUGCUGGGUUGCCUAUGAAACUUAACUGAGAAAUCAGCUAGAACACAGGCAGAAGACUGUAGGAAACCAUUCACUGGGGCGCCUGCCAGACUUUCUGGGUUGUUGGCUGGAGUGCCAGUCGAACUGAACUUGCUAGGAAGCUGCCUGCAGGGUUGCUGCUGGAUUGCUGGGUAACUGAGCACUAGCAGUGUCCAGUGUCCCAAAUGCUGGUGGACACUGCAGGAGCCAGAAGGGAGAAAAGUGAGGUCAUUGAACUCUUAAGUGCGAGAUGAAACAAGUCUUCCGGGGUUCCAAGUAGGAGGACAUAGGAGGAAGAUGUGAUAUAUGAACCAGGAAGCAGGCCCUCUCCAGACACUGGAUCUGCAGGCACCUUGAUCUUGGACUUCUCAGCCUCCAGGAUGGUGAGAAAUGGAUAUUGUUGUUUAAGUGAUCUACUCUGUGGUAUUUUUGUCAUAGCAACCCAAACAAAGUAAGACAGAGAUAUUUUUUAGAGAUGUGGUCUCUCUGUGUUUCCCAGGCUGGUGUUGAAUCAAACUUCUGACCUUAAACGAUGCUUUCACCUCAGCCUCUUGAGUAGCUGGGAUUGUAGGUGCA